This 482-nucleotide ribosomal RNA is filed under the name uncultured bacterium. RNAcentral's name for it is "partial 16S ribosomal RNA". It matches the Rfam family "Bacterial small subunit ribosomal RNA", at positions 30 to 507 of the family's 1533-position model. The record is from RNAcentral.
AUUGAACGCUGGCGGCAUGCCUUACACAUGCAAGUCGAACGGUAACAGGUCUUCGGAUGCUGACGAGUGGCGCACGGGUGAGUAAUACAUCGGAACGUGCCCGAUCGUGGGGGAUAACGGAGCGAAAGCUUUGCUAAUACCGCAUACGAUCUACGGAUGAAAGCAGGGGACCGCAAGGCCUUGCGCGGACGGAGCGGCCGAUGGCAGAUUAGGUAGUUGGUGGGAUAAAAGCUUACCAAGCCGACGAUCUGUAGCUGGUCUGAGAGGACGACCAGUCACACUGGGACUGAGACACGGCCCAGACUCCUACGGGAGGCAGCAGUGGGGAAUUUUGGACAAUGGGCGAAAGCCUGAUCCAGCCAUGCCGCGUGCAGGAUGAAGGCCUUCGGGUUGUAAACUGCUUUUGUCCGGAACGAAAAGACUCUUUCUAAUAAAGAGGGUCCAUGACGGUACCGGAAGAAUAAGCACCGGCUAACUACGUG